AGAACGAACGCUGGCGGCAGGCCUCAAACAUGCAAGUCUAGGGGGUGUAGCAAUACAUCACCGGCGGACGGGUGCGUAACACGUGGGAAUAUACCUUUUGGUUCGGAACAACGCAGGGAAACUUGCGCUAAUACCGAAUGUGCCCUUACGGGGAAAGAUUUAUCGCCAAAGGAUUAGCCCGCGUAGGAUUAGCUAGUUGGUGAGGUAAUGGCUCACCAAGGCUCCGAUCCUUAGCUGUUCUGAGAGGAAGAUCAGCCACACUGGGACUGAGACACGGCCCAGACUCCUACGGGAGGCAGCAGUUGGGAAUCUUGGACAAUGGGGAAACCCUGAUCCAGCCAUGCCGCGUGAGUGAUGAAGGCCUUCGGGUUGUAAAACUCUUUCGACGGGGACGAGUAAUGACGGUACCCGUAGAAGAAGCUCCGGCUAACUUCGUGCCAGCAGCCGC
Molecule: ribosomal RNA, 448 nt
Filed under: uncultured bacterium
Lineage: Bacteria
Description: SSU rRNA
Rfam family: Bacterial small subunit ribosomal RNA
Source: RNAcentral